RNAcentral lists this ribosomal RNA (520 nucleotides) under uncultured Scutellospora. Its description in RNAcentral is "SSU rRNA". It matches the Rfam family "Eukaryotic small subunit ribosomal RNA", at positions 569 to 1092 of the family's 1831-position model. Lineage: Eukaryota; Fungi; Glomeromycota; Glomeromycetes; Diversisporales; Gigasporaceae. The record is from RNAcentral.
AGCAGCCGCGGUAAUUCCAGCUCCAAUAGCGUAUAUUAAAGUUGUUGCAGUUAAAAAGCUCGUAGUUGAAUUUCGGAGUUCUACCGUCGGUCGGGCUACCAAGUCUGUACUGGUGUGUAGAAUUCCUACCUUCUGGGGAACUAUCAUGUUAUUAAUUUAGCGUGGUAGGAAACCAGGACCUUUACCUUGAAAAAAUUAGAGUGUUCAAAGCAGGCUUAUGUCUGAAUACAUUAGCAUGGAAUAAUAGAAUAGGACGGUGGUCCUGUUUUGUUGGUUUCUGAAUCACCGUAAUGAUUAAUAGGGAUAGUUGGGGGCAUUAGUAUUCAAUUGUCAGAGGUGAAAUUCUUGGAUUUAUUGAAGACUAACUUCUGCGAAAGCAUUUGCCAAGGAUGUUUUCAUUAAUCAAGAACGAAAGUUAGGGGAUCGAAGACGAUCAGAUACCGUCGUAGUCUUAACCAUAAACUAUGCCGACUAGGGAUCGGACGAUGUUAAAUUUUAUUGACUCGUUCGGCGCCUUACG